GAGGUAGCUUUGGAAUCAUCGUAGGACAACUGUCCCGGAUCAGCUGAGCCCUGCGUGCUGGGAGAGGACGCAGCCAGCCCUGGAUGUAGGGGUGAAGGAGGAGGGAGGUGGCAGACAGCACGUUGCCCAGCACCACAGUGACAUGGGAUUUUGUCCCACGCUAAAGGCUUUGAAAGUGGUUCUUGGUGCCAAGUACUAAUUAAAUAUGAAUCAUGACAAAAUUUUAUCCAGGCAGAGAACGGAAAGAAGAGCUGAUGAUUGUGCUCUCAGAUUUAUUUUUCCUAGUCCACCCA
RNAcentral lists this long non-coding RNA (293 nucleotides) under Fukomys damarensis (Damara mole-rat). Its description in RNAcentral is "lncRNA (ENSFDAG00000026252.1)". Lineage: Eukaryota; Metazoa; Chordata; Mammalia; Rodentia; Bathyergidae. The record is from RNAcentral.